AGCUCCAAUAGCGUAUAUUAAAGUUGUUGCGGUUAAAAAGCUCGUAGUUGGAUUUCUGUUGAGGACGGCCGGUCCAUGUUUUGCAUGAGAAUCGGUUUGGCCUCGGCAUCCUCUUGGGGAACGUUGCUGCGCUUAGUUGCGUGGUGCGGUUUUCAAGACUUUUACUUUGAGGAAAUUAGAGUGUUCACGGCAGGCUAUCGCCCUGAAUACAUUAGCAUGGAAUAAUACUAUAGGACCUCGGUUCUAUUUUGUUGGUUUCUAGGACUGAGGUAAUGAUUAAUAGGGAUAAUUGGGGGCACUCGUAUUAACACGUCAGAGGUGGAAUUCUUGGAUUGUGUUACGACGAACUACUGCGAA
This 357-nucleotide ribosomal RNA is filed under the name uncultured eukaryote. RNAcentral's name for it is "SSU rRNA". It matches the Rfam family "Eukaryotic small subunit ribosomal RNA", at positions 587 to 949 of the family's 1831-position model. The record is from RNAcentral.